CAUUAUCGAUAAACUUUGAGCAGGCUGCUGCUGGCCUUCAGAGGCAUGUGCACGCUUCUCAUAUUUUUAUUUUUCCAACUGUGCACUUAUUGUAGACCCCCUUGGGGUGUCUAUGUUCUUUUUUGUAAACCACCUUUGAAUAACUUGGAGAUGAUGAUAAAUAAUAUAACAACUUUCAGCAAUGGAUCUCUUGGCUCUCGCAUCGAUGAAGAACGCAGCGAAAUGCGAUAAGUAAUGUGAAUUGCAGAAUUCAGUGAAUCAUCGAAUCUUUGAACGCAUCUUGCGCUUCUUGGUAUUCCGAGAAGCAUGCCUGUUUGAGUGUCAUUAAAUUCUCAACUACACCAGUUAAAAUGGGUGUAGCUUGGAUUUGGGGGUUUUUGCAGGCUCUUUUUUUUUUUGCUUAGCCUUGCUUCCCUGAAAAGCAUUAGUGGUAUCUGAGCAUCCACAGAUGUUGAUAAAUCAUUUCUACAUCUUGGUGGGCUGCACAUGCUGCUUCCAACUUGGCCAUUGGGUUGAAUGAACAAUUUGACCUCAAAUCAGGUAGGACUACCCGCUGAACUUAA
Molecule: unclassified non-coding RNA, 563 nt
Filed under: Inocybe sphaerospora
Lineage: Eukaryota; Fungi; Basidiomycota; Agaricomycetes; Agaricales; Inocybaceae
Description: sequence contains 18S rRNA gene, ITS1, 5.8S rRNA gene, ITS2, 28S rRNA gene
Rfam family: 5.8S ribosomal RNA (bases 171-324)
Source: RNAcentral